Molecule: ribosomal RNA, 274 nt
Filed under: uncultured bacterium
Lineage: Bacteria
Description: partial 16S ribosomal RNA
Rfam family: Bacterial small subunit ribosomal RNA
Source: RNAcentral
AUACGGAGGGUGCAAGCGUUAAUCGGAAUUACUGGGCGUAAAGCGUACGUAGGCGGUUCGUUAAGUUAGAUGUGAAAGCCCCGGGCUUAACCUGGGAACUGCAUUUAAAACUGGCGAACUAGAGUUGAGUAGAGGGGAGUGGAAUUUCAGGUGUAGCGGUGAAAUGCGUAGAGAUCUGAAGGAACACCAGUGGCGAAGGCGACUCCCUGGGCUCGAACUGACGCUGAGGUACGAAAGCGUGGGUAGCAAACGGGAUUAGAAACCCGAGUAGUCC